Molecule: long non-coding RNA, 1109 nt
Organism: Oncorhynchus keta (chum salmon)
Lineage: Eukaryota; Metazoa; Chordata; Actinopteri; Salmoniformes; Salmonidae
Exons: 4
Source: RefSeq, a predicted model, not a curated record
ACAUAGGAGGAGAGAGAGAGAUGAACAACAUAGGAGGAGAGAGAGAGAUGAACAACAUAGGAGAGAGAGAGAUGAACAACAUAGGAGGAGAGAGAGAGGUGAACAACAUAGGAGGAGAGAGAGAGAUGAACAACAUAGGAGGAGAGAGAGAGAGAUGAACAACAUAGGAGGAGAGAGAGAGAUGAACAACAUAGGAGGAGAGAGAGAGAUGAACAACAUAGGAGGAGAGAGAGAUGAACAACAUAGGAGGAGAGAGAGAUGAACAACAUAGGAGGAGAGAGAGAGAUGAACAACAUAGGAGGAGAGAGAGAUGAACAACAUAGGAGGAGAGAGAGAUGAACAACAUAGGAGGAGAGAGAGAUGAACAACAUAGGAGGAGAGAGAGAUGAACAACAUAGGAGGAGAGAGAGAGAUGAACAACAUAGGAGGAGAGAGAGGUGAACAACAUAGGAGGAGAGAGAGAUGAACAACAUAGGAGGAGAGAGAGAGGUGAACAACAUAGGAGGAGAGAGAGAGAUGAACAACAUAGGAGGAGAGAGAGAGGUGAACAACAUAGGAGGAGAGAGAGAGAGGUGAACAACAUAGGAGGAGAGAGAGGGCAAGGUAAAAGAGAGGUAGUUGACUUCAUUGAUCAACAGAAAUGUGCCUUCUGCUUAUCCCACAGAAACAAACACAGGUAAAAGAGGCUGGAGCAGAGGGGAGGAGCAGUAACCAAUUUUAGAGGUUAAUGGUCUUGCUCAAGGGCACAAUGGCAGGCAGGAUAAGGCAUGUAGCUGUCAGCCCACUUCCUGCAGCUGCUGGUCCAUCUCUCUCUAACCUCUAGGAGAUCUCCAGCUGCAUCUCUCUCUAACCUCUAGGAGAUCUCCAGCUAAUGGUCCAUCUCUCUCUAACCUCUAGGAGACCUCCAGCUGCUGGUCCAUCUCUCUCUAACCUCUAGGAGACCUCCAGCUACUGGUCCAUCUCUCUCUAACCUCUAGGAGACCUCCAGCUAAUGGUCCAUCUCUCUCUAACCUCUAGGAGAUCUCCAGCUGCAUCUCUCUCUAACCUCUAGGAGAUCUCCAGCUGCUGGUCCAUCUCUCUCUAACCUCUAGGAGACCUCCAGCUGCUGG